UGUAACCCAAAUUUUGACUUCUGUCAUGUGUGCAUUUGCUACGUGCUUAAAAGUACAGGACAGCCUGUGCUGAAGGCCUCAGCUGAACUUUAGACUUAGAAGACUUUUAUAUCAAUAUGGAAAUAAGAAAAGUUAAAGAUAAAAGAUUUCCACGAAAUGUUUAUACUUCUAAAAACAGCAUGAUUCAGAGACGUUUAUAUUCCAUCACACGUCUGUUAUUUGGAGUCAUUCGAACCCCCCCCUGUGGGUUCUUAACAAAAGAGAACCAGACGAUUAAUCUUCUGAGGUAGGACAGUUGGACUUUGAACAUACAAUCUGCUGACCUUACGAAAUAGGGAACUGAAAUUAGGCUGCAAGGGCUAGGAUGUAUUUUCGGAGAAGGAUGACGACUGUUUUGAUAUCUGUUUGAGACGUGGCUGCAGAGACGUGGCAUGGGUUUGAUACAGAUUCGCAGGGCUAUAAGAGGAGGCAAAUUCACUCUCUCUCUCGCGCAGACUGAGUUCAGCCUAGACCCUUCUAGCUGGACUUAGUCUUUUCUCACCUUCUUUAUCUUUGAUUCCGGGCUCACUUGAAUACUUUGAACUUCUCUCAGGUUUUAUUCAUCUCAGAUAUGAUUAUUAUUAUAUUAUUUGUUAUUAUAUGAAUACUAUUAUAACUUUUGACUUUUGAUAUACAGGGUAUUGUUGUAUACUUUGUAUUAUUAUUUUUAACAUCUUGAUUACUUUUAAUAUUAUAAUGCAUUUUGUAUUACUUUUAAUUGGGCAGCAUCCAUCAUACAUGGAUUGCUUUUAAAACUAUAUUAAUUUUGGGAUUUGUAUUUUCUAUAUUUGAAGCUGAUUUUAAUACUUACUAAUCUGUUUGCAAGUUAUGAGUUGUAUUCUCAUUUCCUAUAUUCUUUGAAUAAAUUUGCAUACUAAAAUACCACCCCACCGUCUGACCAAGAUUGAAGUCUAAUUUUUUGCAUCAGUUUUGGAGGCACCGCUGGGAUCGUUGAAGUUUUCAUUUCAUUAAGUUUCGAUGCAACGCAAGACAAAAUAAAGAGAGGUAUGAGUGCAUGCUGAUACGGAACCUAUCCUGCGUACAUUUACCACACGACUGGUUCUAAGGGUGACCCUUUUGGUGUGACUUCUGCAACAGUGCAGCUCAUUGACGAUUCGGGAGAGGUUGCUGUGCUCGUAGCUGGACAUCAGUGUUUGAUCCCAAGAACUGGACGCAUCGUCAUCACAUCGCACGCUAACUCUACAUCAUCUGAGAGACUUGUGCUUUCAUCUACCAGCUGAUAUAUAGAUUUACAAAUCCCUACAUCAAGAUGCCUCACAAGAUUAUUGAUCAAAAAGAUUCUUUUACUCCUAUUGCUGUCAGCAAUGAUGAAGAAAUGUAUGAAUUAGAGGUGAAGGGUAAGGAAAGAUACGAGAUGUUGAAAAAGAUCAACGAAAGUUUGGAAAUUUGCGACAUGAUACCCCAAUCUGAUAAGGACAAAUAUCUUAAGAAGCUACCCAUUAAGAAGAGAAAGUAUGAUGAUAAGUUUAGAGAUGGAAAGAAGGGUAUGCUGUAGUAAGUCCUCGACCCAGCAAAAGUCCAGGUGAGGUCAGGGGUCGGAUGCUUUUAGUGCUCCUCGUCUGAUCAGCUUGGUGAAGAAUUCCUGUCAACUUAACGCGGCUGGGGUUAAAGAGGUAUCUACAGUCUACCUGAAAAGAUUCAUUCACUUUUAUAUUUCCUUUAUGCUUACACGAUUAAGUGCUUAUCUGAAAUGUUUUACUUACUUAUUUUUCUGCAUAUGUAUUUGUUACCUUUGACUAUUAUGUAUCUUAUUUUCAAGGGAAAGGAUUUUGGGUGCGAGUCUUUUUGUCAAGACUCGAGUGGGGGACUGAUGUAACCCAAAUUUUGACUUCUGUCAUGUGUGCAUUUGCUACGUGCUUAAAAGUACAGGACAGCCUGUGCUGAAGGCCUCAGCUGAACUUUAGACUUAGAAGACUUUUAUAUCAAUAUGGAAAUAAGAAAAGUUAAAGAUAAAAGAUUUCCACGAAAUGUUUAUACUUCUAAAAACAGCAUGAUUCAGAGACGUUUAUAUUCCAUCACACGUCUGUUAUUUGGAGUCAUUCGAACCCCCCCCUGUGGGUUCUUAACAAAAGAGAACCAGACGAUUAAUCUUCUGAGGUAGGACAGUUGGACUUUGAACAUACAAUCUGCUGACCUUACGAAAUAGGGAACUGAAAUUAGGCUGCAAGGGCUAGGAUGUAUUUUCGGAGAAGGAUGACGACUGUUUUGAUAUCUGUUUGAGACGUGGCUGCAGAGACGUGGCAUGGGUUUGAUACAGAUUCGCAGGGCUAUAAGAGGAGGCAAAUUCACUCUCUCUCUCGCGCAGACUGAGUUCAGCCUAGACCCUUCUAGCUGGACUUAGUCUUUUCUCACCUUCUUUAUCUUUGAUUCCGGGCUCACUUGAAUACUUUGAACUUCUCUCAGGUUUUAUUCAUCUCAGAUAUGAUUAUUAUUAUAUUAUUUGUUAUUAUAUGAAUACUAUUAUAACUUUUGACUUUUGAUAUACAGGGUAUUGUUGUAUACUUUGUAUUAUUAUUUUUAACAUCUUGAUUACUUUUAAUAUUAUAAUGCAUUUUGUAUUACUUUUAAUUGGGCAGCAUCCAUCAUACAUGGAUUGCUUUUAAAACUAUAUUAAUUUUGGGAUUUGUAUUUUCUAUAUUUGAAGCUGAUUUUAAUACUUACUAAUCUGUUUGCAAGUUAUGAGUUGUAUUCUCAUUUCCUAUAUUCUUUGAAUAAAUUUGCAUACUAAAAUACCACCCCACCGUCUGACCAA
This is a long non-coding RNA of Carassius gibelio (silver crucian carp), 2812 nucleotides long. RefSeq lists it as uncharacterized. The transcript is spliced from 2 exons. The record is from RefSeq and is a predicted model, not a curated record. NCBI's taxonomy places the organism in Eukaryota, Metazoa, Chordata, Actinopteri, Cypriniformes, Cyprinidae.